AAGCUGCCUCCUAAUUAAUUGUUCAACACAUCAAAUGCGUGAUCUUCAUCUUCUGCGAGAGCCUAAAGGUUUAUUGGAAGAUCAUAUAUGGUUGUGGAGGAUUCAAAGAUUUGGGGGAGUGGAAAUGCUGUGAAGGAACCUAAAGGGAAUCAUCCGAAAUGCUCAAACAUUAGCAAUGAUGAUUUCGCGUUUAUCAUGAAUACGACCUUUUGCUCAACAAAAUGAGGUAGUUGAUGCGAGUGAGAAUACAGAAGUCAACGUAACAGAGCGUACAAAUCUUGAUAGAAUUAGAUAUGGUAUGGUUGAAGCUGGAUGCCAAGACACAACUGAGAGUUCAAGUUCUUUUGAGGAAUCUAUUUCCGGAGUUGAUGAAUCUAAUCUUUGUGGUGACGUUACGUCACCAGUAGCAUUUGGUGAAGUCGGUGAUAUAUUAAGCAUGAGGGGACAUUGAUGUUGAGUCGGUAGUGGGUGAAGAUGUGGUAGCACCCUUGCCACCACCCCCCGUUGAUGUG
Long non-coding RNA from Ipomoea nil (Japanese morning glory), 512 nucleotides. RefSeq lists it as uncharacterized. NCBI's taxonomy places the organism in Eukaryota, Viridiplantae, Streptophyta, Magnoliopsida, Solanales, Convolvulaceae. The record is from RefSeq and is a predicted model, not a curated record. The transcript has 3 exons.